RNAcentral lists this ribosomal RNA (1014 nucleotides) under uncultured bacterium. RNAcentral describes it as "bacterial SSU rRNA". It matches the Rfam family "Bacterial small subunit ribosomal RNA", at positions 359 to 1376 of the family's 1533-position model. The record is from RNAcentral.
GAAUAUUGGUCAAUGGGCGCAGGCCUGAACCAGCCAAGUAGCGUGAAGGAUGACUGCCCUAUGGGUUGUAAACUUCUUUUAUAUGGGAAUAAAGUUUUCCACGUGUGGAAUUUUGUAUGUACCAUAUGAAUAAGGAUCGGCUAACUCCGUGCCAGCAGCCGCGGUAAUACGGAGGAUCCGAGCGUUAUCCGGAUUUAUUGGGUUUAAAGGGAGCGUAGGUGGACAGUUAAGUCAGUUGUGAAAGUUUGCGGCUCAACCGUAAAAUUGCAGUUGAUACUGGCUGUCUUGAGUACAGUAGAGGUGGGCGGAAUUCGUGGUGUAGCGGUGAAAUGCUUAGAUAUCACGAAGAACUCCGAUUGCGAAGGCAGCUCACUGGACUGCAACUGACACUGAUGCUCGAAAGUGUGGGUAUCAAACAGGAUUAGAUACCCUGGUAGUCCACACAGUAAACGAUGAAUACUCGCUGUUUGCGAUAUACAGUAAGCGGCCAAGCGAAAGCAUUAAGUAUUCCACCUGGGGAGUACGCCGGCAACGGUGAAACUCAAAGGAAUUGACGGGGGCCCGCACAAGCGGAGGAACAUGUGGUUUAAUUCGAUGAUACGCGAGGAACCUUACCCGGGCUUAAAUUGCAUUUGAAUAUAUUGGAAACAGUAUAGUCGUAAGACAAAUGUGAAGGUGCUGCAUGGUUGUCGUCAGCUCGUGCCGUGAGGUGUCGGCUUAAGUGCCAUAACGAGCGCAACCCUUAUCUUUAGUUACUAACAGGUCAUGCUGAGGACUCUAGAGAGACUGCCGUCGUAAGAUGUGAGGAAGGUGGGGAUGACGUCAAAUCAGCACGGCCCUUACGUCCGGGGCUACACACGUGUUACAAUGGGGGGUACAGAAGGCAGCUACCUGGUGACAGGAUGCUAAUCCCAAAAGCCUCUCUCAGUUCGGAUCGAAGUCUGCAACCCGACUUCGUGAAGCUGGAUUCGCUAGUAAUCGCGCAUCAGCCAUGGCGCGGUGAAUACGUUCCCG